CUAGUGGUUAGAGCGUUGGACUAGUAACCAGCAGGUAGCCUAGUGGUUAGAGCGUUGGACUAGUAACCAGCAGGUAGCCUAGUGGUUAGAGCGUUGGACUAGUAACCAGCAGGUAGCCUAGUGGUUAGAGCGUUGGACUAGUAAACAGCAGGUAGCCUAGUGGUUAGAGCGUUGGACUAGUAAACAGCAGGUAGCCUAGUGGUUAGAGCGUUGGACUAGUAACCAGCAGGUAGCCUAGUGGUUAGAGCGUUGGACUAGUAACCAGCAGGUAGCCUAGUGGUUAGAGCGUUGGACUAGUAAACAGCAGGUAGCCUAGUGGUUAGAGCGUUGGACUAGUAAACAGCAGGUAGCCUAGUGG
Long non-coding RNA from Oncorhynchus keta (chum salmon), 358 nucleotides. RefSeq lists it as uncharacterized. The transcript has 3 exons. Lineage: Eukaryota; Metazoa; Chordata; Actinopteri; Salmoniformes; Salmonidae. The record is from RefSeq and is a predicted model, not a curated record.